GGCCCCGAGGUGUAACACGCAUGGUUGCAAACCAUGAGAAGUAGAUUACCGUCUACCGGGUCUU
Molecule: transfer RNA, 64 nt
Filed under: Pronothobranchius seymouri
Lineage: Eukaryota; Metazoa; Chordata; Actinopteri; Cyprinodontiformes; Nothobranchiidae
Description: tRNA-Cys
Source: RNAcentral